Molecule: ribosomal RNA, 371 nt
Filed under: uncultured organism
Description: partial 16S ribosomal RNA
Rfam family: Bacterial small subunit ribosomal RNA
Source: RNAcentral
GUAGGUGGCAAGCGUGUCCGGAAUUAUUGGGCGUAAAGCGCGCGCAGGCGGUUCUUUAAGUCUGAUGUGAAAGCCCACGGGCUCAACCGUGGAGGGUCAUUGGAAACUGGAGAACUUGAGUACAGAAGAGGAAAGCGGAAUUCCACGUGUAGCGGUGAAAUGCGUAGAGAUGUGGAGGAACACCAGUGGCGAAGGCGGCUUUCUGGUCUGUAACUGACGCUGAGGCGCGAAAGCGUGGGGAGCAAACAGGAUUAGAUACCCUGGUAGUCCACGCCGUAAACGAUGAGUGCUAAGUGUUAGGGGGUUUCCGCCCCUUAGUGCUGCAGCUAACGCAUUAAGCACUCCGCCUGGGGAGUACGGCCGCAAGGCUG